AGACCCGAAACCCGGUGAUCUAGCCAUGGGCAGGUUGAAGGUUGGGUAACACUAACUGGAGGACCGAACCGACUAAUGUUGAAAAAUUAGCGGAUGACUUGUGGCUGGGGGUGAAAGGCCAAUCAAACCGGGAGAUAGCUGGUUCUCCCCGAAAGCUAUUUAGGUAGCGCCUCGUGAAUUCAUCUCCGGGGGUAGAGCACUGUUUCGGCAAGGGGGUCAUCCCGACUUACCAACCCGAUGCAAACUGCGAAUACCGGAGAAUGUUAUCACGGGAGACACACGGCGGGUGCUAACGUCCGUCGUGAAGAGGGAAACAACCCAGACCGCCAGCUAAGGUCCCAAAGUCAUGGUUAAGUGGGAAACGAUGUGGGAAGGCCCAGACAGCCAGGAUGUUGGCUUAGAAGCAGCCAUCAUUUAAAGAAAGCGUAAUAGCUCACUGGUCGAGUCGGCCUGCGCGGAAGAUGUAACGGGGCUAAACCAUGCACCGAAGCUGCGGCAGCGACACUGUGUGUUGUUGGGUAGGGGAGCGUUCUGUAAGCCUGUGAAGGUGUGCUGUGAGGCAUGCUGGAGGUAUCAGAAGUGCGAAUGCUGACAUAAGUAACGAUAAAGCGGGUGAAAAGCCCGCUCGCCGGAAGACCAAGGGUUCCUGUCCAACGUU
This 658-nucleotide ribosomal RNA is filed under the name Escherichia coli. RNAcentral describes it as "partial 23S ribosomal RNA". It matches the Rfam family "Bacterial large subunit ribosomal RNA", at positions 711 to 1366 of the family's 2925-position model. The record is from RNAcentral. Lineage: Bacteria; Pseudomonadati; Pseudomonadota; Gammaproteobacteria; Enterobacterales; Enterobacteriaceae.